GGCGAACGGGUGAGUAACACGUAGGUAAUCUACCUUAAGGUGGGGAAUAGCUGUUCGAAAGGGCAGAUAAUACCGCAUAAGAUCGCAAGAUGAAAGGUCGGAAGACCGCCAUAAGAUGAGCCUGCGGCCGAUUAGCUAGUUGGUGAGGUAAUGGCCCACCAAGGCGAUGAUCGGUAGCUGGUCUGAGAGGACGAUCAGCCACACUGGAACUGAUACACGGUCCAGACUCCUACGGGGGGCAGCAGGGAGGAAUAUUGCACAACGGGGGAAACCCAGGUGCAGCAACGCCGCGUGAGUGAAGAAGGCCUUCGGGUCGUAAAACUCUUUUCUGAGGGAUGAGGGAGGACAGUACCUCAGGAAUAAGUCUCGGCUAAUUACGUGCCAGCAGCCGCGGUAAGACGUAAGAGGCGAGCGUUAUCCGGAUUUACUGGGCGUAAAGGGCAAGUAGGCGGUACGGCAAGUCAGUUGUGACAGAUCCCGGCUUAACUGGGAGAGGACGAUUGAGACUGUCGAGCUAGAGGACAGGAGAGGGAAGCGGAAUUCC
This 544-nucleotide ribosomal RNA is filed under the name uncultured Bacillota bacterium. Its description in RNAcentral is "bacterial SSU rRNA". It matches the Rfam family "Bacterial small subunit ribosomal RNA", at positions 97 to 670 of the family's 1533-position model. Lineage: Bacteria; Bacillati; Bacillota. The record is from RNAcentral.